RNAcentral lists this ribosomal RNA (1346 nucleotides) under uncultured bacterium. RNAcentral describes it as "partial 16S ribosomal RNA". It matches the Rfam family "Bacterial small subunit ribosomal RNA", at positions 28 to 1381 of the family's 1533-position model. The record is from RNAcentral.
GACGAACGCUGGCGGCGUGCUUAACACAUGCAAGUCGAACGGAAAGGCCCUGCUUUUGUGGGGUGCUCGAGUGGCGAACGGGUGAGUAACACGUGAGUAACCUGCCCUUGACUUUGGGAUAACUUCAGGAAACUGGGGCUAAUACCGGAUAGGAGCUCCUGCUGCAUGGUGGGGGUUGGAAAGUUUCGGCGGUUGGGGAUGGACUCGCGGCUUAUCAGCUUGUUGGUGGGGUAGUGGCUUACCAAGGCUUUGACGGGUAGCCGGCCUGAGAGGGUGACCGGCCACAUUGGGACUGAGAUACGGCCCAGACUCCUACGGGAGGCAGCAGUGGGGAAUAUUGCACAAUGGGCGGAAGCCUGAUGCAGCAACGCCGCGUGCGGGAUGACGGCCUUCGGGUUGUAAACCGCUUUCGCCUGUGACGAAGCGUGAGUGACGGUAAUGGGUAAAGAAGCACCGGCUAACUACGUGCCAGCAGCCGCGGUGAUACGUAGGGUGCGAGCGUUGUCCGGAUUUAUUGGGCGUAAAGGGCUCGUAGGUGGUUGAUCGCGUCGGAAGUGUAAUCUUGGGGCUUAACCCUGAGCGUGCUUUCGAUACGGGUUGACUUGAGGAAGGUAGGGGAGAAUGGAAUUCCUGGUGGAGCGGUGGAAUGCGCAGAUAUCAGGAGGAACACCAGUGGCGAAGGCGGUUCUCUGGGCCUUUCCUGACGCUGAGGAGCGAAAGCGUGGGGAGCGAACAGGCUUAGAUACCCUGGUAGUCCACGCUGUAAACGGUGGGUACUAGGUGUGGGGUCCAUUCCACGGGUUCCGUGCCGUAGCUAACGCUUUAAGUACCCCGCCUGGGGAGUACGGCCGCAAGGCUAAAACUCAAAGGAAUUGACGGGGCCCCGCACAAGCGGCGGAGCAUGCGGAUUAAUUCGAUGCAACGCGUAGAACCUUACCUGGGUUUGACAUGGAUCGGGAGUGCUCAGAGAUGGGUGUGCCUCUUUUGGGGUCGGUUCACAGGUGGUGCAUGGCUGUCGUCAGCUCGUGUCGUGAGAUGUUGGGUUAAGUCCCGCAACGAGCGCAACCCUUGUUCACUGUUGCCAGCACGUUAUGGUGGGGACUCAGUGGAGACCGCCGGGGUCAACUCGGAGGAAGGUGGGGAUGACGUCAAGUCAUCAUGCCCCUUAUGUCCAGGGCUUCACGCAUGCUACAAUGGCUGGUACAGAGAGUGGCGAGCCUGUGAGGGUGAGCGAAUCUCGGAAAGCCGGUCUCAGUUCGGAUUGGGGUCUGCAACUCGACCUCAUGAAGUCGGAGUCGCUAGUAAUCGCAGAUCAGCAACGCUGCGGUGAAUACGUUCCCGGGACA